Molecule: unclassified non-coding RNA, 343 nt
Filed under: soil metagenome
Description: partial contains 5.8S ribosomal RNA, internal transcribed spacer 2, and large subunit ribosomal RNA
Rfam family: 5.8S ribosomal RNA (bases 1-120)
Source: RNAcentral
GAUGAAGAACGCAGCGAAAUGCGAUAAGUAAUGUGAAUUGCAGAAUUCAGUGAAUCAUCGAAUCUUUGAACGCACAUUGCGUCCGCUAGUAUUCUGGCGGGCAUGCCUGUCCGAGCGUCAUUUCAACCCUCAAGCCCCCGGGCUUGGUGUUGGGGAUCGGCGAGCCUCCGCGCCCGCCGUCCCCUAAAUCUAGUGGCGGUCUCGCUGUAGCUUCCUCUGCGUAGUAGCACACCUCGCACUGGGAAACAGCGCGGCCACGCCGUUAAACCCCCAACUUCUGAACGUUUGACCUCGGAUCAGGUAGGAAUACCCGCUGAACUUAAGCAUAUCAAUAAGCGGAGGA